AUGUUGGGGUUGAUGGAAGCCCCACCUAGGCAUGCCCUCACAGCGGAGAAAACCAGCGAUCCAUCUGGCAUUACCUUCGCUUAUCGUGGUGCAGGCUUGUUGGGUAGUACAUCACAAGAGGUUCACACCCUCGCCAAGCAGGUCAACACUUUCCGAAAGAAUUAUUUCCAGGACAAGACCAUCUCAGAGAAGCAAUUGAGUCACUCUGUAGCGCUUGUGGCCAUCUCCGGCAACGGCUAUGCAAGCACAAGCGGGAUUGGACAAAGUAGCCUGAAUCUCAUAUUGGUAUCCACCAAUCUCUCACCUAAGCUUGCAACUACACUUUUGUAG
RNAcentral lists this ribosomal RNA (330 nucleotides) under Triticum aestivum (bread wheat). RNAcentral describes it as "partial small subunit ribosomal RNA". Lineage: Eukaryota; Viridiplantae; Streptophyta; Magnoliopsida; Poales; Poaceae. The record is from RNAcentral.